CUGCAAAGACUGAGGAACUAGCCCUGGGUGACCUCACCAGGCAGGAAGAGUGGGAACACAGCAGUGAUUUAUCAAGUUGGUGACUGUUAGGCGUUUUCGCUGUGUGUCUCUUCACUGGCAUCUGAUGUCCAAAUCAAUGUCAUAUUGGUGGUGUAAUCUCUGCCCUGGUCAGCUCAGCUGAUUUUGCCUCACAGAGAUGAAGGAGCUGUCUUGAGAAGCAAAAUAAGCACCACAUUUGAAGCUGUAACUGGCUCUCUCAUUACUCGCAGGGGACUGCACCAGCAUAUUUCAACUGGCAUCUAAAGAAUGAGCAUAAAGAGGCUGGAGAGAUGGCUCGGCAGUUAAUAGCUCGGCUGUCCUUGCAGAGAACCUGUGCGUGGUUCCCAGCACCCCCAUGGACGCUAACAAUCAUCUUCUGUAACUCCAGUCCUAGGGAGUUCCAUGUUCUCUUGUGACCUCUGCAUGUGCCAGGCGUGCACCUGAUGUGCAUGCAUGUUUGCAACACACACUUACAUACACAAAUUAACUAACUAAUUAAAGAAAGUGUGGAUAAAGCAA
This 558-nucleotide long non-coding RNA is filed under the name Rattus norvegicus (Norway rat). RNAcentral describes it as "long non-coding RNA NONRATT015850". The record is from RNAcentral. Lineage: Eukaryota; Metazoa; Chordata; Mammalia; Rodentia; Muridae.